AAUUUUGGACAAUGGGGGAAACCCUGAUGCAGCAACGCCGCGUGAAGGAUGAAGGUUUUCGGAUCGUAAACUUCUAUCAGUAGGGACGAAAGAAAUGACGGUACCUAACUAAGAAGCCCCGGCUAACUACGUGCCAGCAGCCGCGGUAAUACGUAGGUGGCAAGCGUUGUCCGGAAUGACUGGGCGUAAAGGGCGUGUAGGUGGAUUGAUCAGUCGGAUGUGAAAUACCUGGGCUUAACCUGGGAACUGCAUUCGAUACGGUCAGUCUUGAGUGCAGGAGAGGGCAGUGGAAUUCCCAGUGUAGCGGUGAAAUGCGUAGAGAUUGGGAGGAACACCAGUGGCGAAGGCGGCUGCCUGGACUGUAACCGACACUGAGGCGCGAAAGCGUGGGGAGCAAACAG
RNAcentral lists this ribosomal RNA (401 nucleotides) under uncultured bacterium. RNAcentral's name for it is "partial 16S ribosomal RNA". It matches the Rfam family "Bacterial small subunit ribosomal RNA", at positions 360 to 775 of the family's 1533-position model. The record is from RNAcentral.